Molecule: ribosomal RNA, 253 nt
Filed under: uncultured bacterium
Lineage: Bacteria
Description: partial 16S ribosomal RNA
Rfam family: Bacterial small subunit ribosomal RNA
Source: RNAcentral
UACGUAGGGUGCUAGCGUUACUCGGAUUUACUGGGCGUAAAGCACAUGUAGGUGGAUUUGUAAGACAGAAGUGUAAUCCCCAAGCUCAACUUGGGAACUGCUUUUGUGACUGCUUAUCUGGAGUACGGUAGAGGAUGAUGGAAUUUCUAGUGGAGGGGUAAAAUCCGUAGAUAUUAGAAGGAACACCAGAAGCGAAAGCGAUCAUCUGGGCCGUUACUGACACUGAGAUGUGAAAGCGUGGGGAGCAAACAGG